RNAcentral lists this ribosomal RNA (396 nucleotides) under Triticum aestivum (bread wheat). Its description in RNAcentral is "partial small subunit ribosomal RNA". Lineage: Eukaryota; Viridiplantae; Streptophyta; Magnoliopsida; Poales; Poaceae. The record is from RNAcentral.
AUGGAAACCAAGCCUUUCGUGGUUCAAAAACGCGGAAUCUCGUCUCAAUCAUCAUUUGUAAGGACUUUUCGGGGUAAGUUCUUUGGCUUGGACAGGACGUUUAGUUCAUGUUGCUAUUCCCGCAUCCAGGGGGAGUACGUUAGAUGGAAUAAUUUCUUAGAUGUAUUACCCUAUCCCCAGGGGUUGGGGACCCUUUUCACGGGUCAAUGGAAUCUUUAUGCCCAAAACCCUGAUUCGAGUAAUCAUUUAUUUGGUACCGCUCAAGGAGCGGGAACUACCAUUCUAACUCUUCUUGGGGGAUUCCAUCCACAAACACAAAGUUUGUGGCUGACCGAUAUGGCUCACCAUCAUUUAGCUAUUGCAUUUAUUUUUCUCAUUGCCGGUCACAUGUAUUGA